Medicago truncatula (barrel medic) is the source of this 72-nucleotide microRNA precursor. It matches the Rfam family "MIR2629 microRNA precursor family". NCBI's taxonomy places the organism in Eukaryota, Viridiplantae, Streptophyta, Magnoliopsida, Fabales, Fabaceae. The record is from Rfam.
UGUCGAUGUUUUCCUCGGCAGUUAACUGCAGCCGGUUCUUCAAAAUUUUGACAGUUAAUUGCCGAGGGACAU